Molecule: transfer RNA, 69 nt
Filed under: Glyphoglossus yunnanensis (Yunnan squat frog)
Lineage: Eukaryota; Metazoa; Chordata; Amphibia; Anura; Microhylidae
Description: tRNA-Trp
Rfam family: tRNA
About the family: Transfer RNA (tRNA) molecules are approximately 80 nucleotides in length.
Source: RNAcentral
AGAAACUUAGGAUAAUUAGACCAAAAGCCUUCAAAGCCUUAAGUAGAAGUUAAACUCUUCUAGUUUCUG